Molecule: RNA transcript, 7398 nt
Organism: Quercus robur (English oak)
Lineage: Eukaryota; Viridiplantae; Streptophyta; Magnoliopsida; Fagales; Fagaceae
Gene name: disease resistance protein RPV1-like
Exons: 14
Source: RefSeq, a predicted model, not a curated record
GAAACUUCGUGGAAGGGGGAUGGAAGAAGGAUCUCCACUAUAGCCAUCGUUCAGAUUGAACAGAAUAUAUUGUGAAAAGGAGCCACUAUGAGCCAUCUUUUCUUAUUACAUAUUUCCAAUUCGAAUUCUUCUCUCCGAUAUUCAAUUCUAGCACACUUGGUGAAAAUCAUCAUUCCUUCAUCAAUUUCCCAAAUCAAAUGCACACUCAAAACAUUUCAAAUUUAGCGCUCUUAACUCAUCCGUGAACCUCCACUCCAAUUGCAAGCAUUCAUUUAUCUAUUAUCAUUCCUAUUAAUUUCGUUACAUCCUUAAUCUUCUUACCUUUUACUCUUCUUUUUUCAUAUUCUCAAUCUUCAGUCAACAAAUCAUAUCAAUGGCUUUCUUGACCAAUGAAGGAGCCUCUUCUUCUUCUUCUACCCACGGAUGGGACUUUGAUGUCUUCUUGAAUUUUCGAGGUAAAGAUACUCGUAAUAAUUUUACAAGCCAUUUAUAUAAGGCUUUGGAUGACCAAGGUUUUAAGACCUUCAUCGAUAAUAACCUUCUGAGGGGAGAAGAAAUUCCAAUGGAACUUCUUAAAACCAUUAGAUCGUCAAUGAUUUGGAUUGUUGUGUUCUCUAAAGAUUAUGUAUCUUCUCCUUGGUGCUUGAAUGAACUUGUUGAGAUUUUUAAGUGUAGGAGUGAAGACCGAAAGGUUAUACCAAUUUUUUACAAAGUGAGCCCAUCAGAAAUACGUGAACAAGAUGGAGAGUUUGGGAUUGCACUAGCUAAUCAUGAAGAAAAAUUCAAAGAUAAGGUCCAGACGUGGAGGGAAACUUUAGCUAAAGUAGCUAAUUUGUCUGGAUUUACUUACAAAGAUGGCUGCGAUGAAUCUGAAUCAAAGUUUAUCCAAAAAGUUAUAAAUGAGAUAUCAAGUACUAAAUCAAAUCGUAUGCUAUUAUUUGUUGCUAAAUAUCCAGUUGGAAUAGAUAUUCGAGCGAAGGCCAUAGAAUCGCUUUUAGAUAUGGAGUCGAAUGAUGGUUGCAUGGUAGGAAUUUAUGGUCUUGGGGGAGUUGGUAAGACUACAAUCUCGAAAGCUAUUUAUAAUAGAAUUGCAAACUGUUUUGAAGGAAGCUGUUUUUUAGAGGAUGUUAGAGAAAUGUCAAAGAUAAAUGGUGACAUAAUCCAACUACAAGAGAAAUUUCUUUCUAAGAUCUUACAAGGUAGAUAUUUGAAGGUGUGCAAUGUUUCCGAAGGUACUAAUUUGAUAAAGGAAACACUUCAUCGUAAAAAAGUCCUUUUAAUUCUUGAUGAUGUGGGUGAUGAUGUGGGUGGAUCAAAAGUGGUUGAAAAUUUCCUUGGAGAAUGUAACAAGUUUGCUUUUGGAAGUAGAGUCAUUGUAACAACAAGAAACAAACAAGUACUAACCAUUUUGGGAAUUGAUCAUCGUCGAAUACACAAGGUUGAAGAAUUGAGGCAAUGUGAAGCUCGUGAACUUUUCAUCAAACAUGCCUUCCAAACAAGUAAAUAUGAGGAAGAUUAUUUAGAACUUGCAAACAAGAUUAUACUUUAUGCCAAUGGCCUACCAUUAGCUUUACAAAUUAUUGGUUCUGAUUUGUGUGGAAAAAAUAUACAAGAAUGGAAAAGUGCAUUUGAAAAGUAUGAAAACAUUCCACAUAAAAAUAUUCAAGAAAAACUCAAAAUAAGUUAUGAUGGAUUGGAAGAAACUGAAAAGGAUAUUUUUCUUGAUAUUGCAUGUUUUUUUAAGGGUUACAGAAAGGAUGGUGUUUUAAAUAUAUUACGUUCUUGCGAUUUAUAUCCAGACAAUGGUAUUGGAAGGCUUAUUGACAAGUGUCUUGUAACGUUGGAACAUGGCAUUUUGUCAAUGCAUGACUUGAUACAACAAAUGGGUAGAGAAAUCGUUCAACAAGAAUCAAAAGAGCUUGAAAGACGUAGUAGGAUAUGGCGUUAUAAGGAUGCUUAUAAGUUACUAACUAGAAAUAUGGGAUCAGAUAAAAUUCGAGGUAUAAUGUUGCGCUCACCUAAACCAACAAAGGUUGCAUUGAAAGCUAAUGUUUUCAAGAGGAUGGAAAAUCUCAAAUUUCUUAUAGGCAAUGCACAUAUUGUUGAAGAUCUUGAAUAUCUCCCAGAUGAGUUAAGGUUUCUUGAAUGGCAUAAAUUGUCCUUAUCUUCCAAAUGUUGUGCCCCUGAAGAACUUGUUGCACUCAACCUGUCUACGUCUAACAUUAAAUUGGAGAAUGCAUUCAAGCAGGGGUUCAAGUAUGAAAAUUUGAAAAUUAUCAACCUAAGAUCCUGUGAAUUCAUUACAAAAUUACCUGACUUGUGUUGCCCAAACUUAGAGGAAUUGAAUCUUAGAAAUUGUGAAAAAUUAAUUGAGGUUCAUGAGUCCAUUGGACUUCUUGAGAAGCUUAAAGUAUGGGAUCUCAAGGGCUGUUCACAACUUCAAAUUCUUCCAAGUACGCUCAGGUUGAAAUCUCUUGAAUAUUUUCAAUUAUCAUGUUGCAGAAGGCUUGAGAAGUUCCCCGAUAUUCACCCAGAAAUGAAAUCUCUAAAUUAUUUGGAUUUGUUUCGUUGUGGUAUUAGAGAAUUGCCUUCAUCAUUGUUGUAUCUGACUAGACUUGCCGUGUUAGGCGGCCUAGGUGUCAGUCAGCUUACAAAUUUUCUAGUUGGGGCCAAUAAAUCACAAAUGCGGGAGGAAGAAGAUAUUCCUUCUACCAAAUUGAGACUGGCGUGCAAUUCCUUUAAUAACUUUUCGGGACCUACUGGGUUUCUGAGAUUGACAAAACUAAAUCUUAGCUUCCAUCCGAUUAAAGUUGAAUUAGAUUCUUGGAUGCGGCCCGAUUACUUCCCAGUAUUAGAAAGUUUGUCUCUUGCUUCUACUGGUAUUGUUACCAUCCCAAAAAGUAUUAGUAGAUUUACUACAUUAGUAUAUCUUCAAAUUCAAUAUUGCAAAAAGCUUCGGGAAAUUUCGAGACUUCGACAAUCUAUAGGAGCUGUGGAUGCAAGGAAUUGCGAUCAGCUGGAUACACAAUCAUCAAGCAGAUUAUUGAAUCAGUUUCGAGAAAUUCUAGCGAUUCUACCAAAUACAGUCGCUAAAGCUGCAACAAGCUUUUUUCCCGAAUGGCCUAUGGGUAGUCUUAUACUACCAGUAACUGAGAUUCCGAAGUGGUUGAAAUUCAACCAUCAUCAGAGUGUUGGAAAUUCUGUAUCAUUCUUGGUCGGUCCCAAAAUUUCAAAUUUGGUUGUUUGUAUUGCUUUUCCAUCAAAGGAUGUGCCCAUCGAUCCCGACGAUACAGAGUGGCCAACCUGGAAUGUUCUAAUUUCCAUUAAUGGUAAAACACGAUUGGAAGGGUCGAGAGGUUGGAAGAAUAGUAAUUAUGACCAUCUAUGGUUAAUGUAUUGGAAAGUGAAUAUAUCAAAUCCAUCUGAAGAGAAUCGCAUUGAGAUUAAGGUUAUACCUGAAUGGCGUGUAUCUAUUUCACUAAAUAGAUUGAGGAUUUAUGUAGAAUGCAUCUGUUGUCCUCAGAAACCCAAUAUAUCUAUGGAUCAAUGUGCUUUCAACAAUGGGGAAGAAGAUUCAGGCCGUGUUGGAAUCCGACGCCGACUGCGAAGAAGAAACCAUCGACCAACCCAUGCUAGACGUCCCCAAAAACACUUCCUGUCCCGCUUUGGAUGGCUUCGAAUCCGAUACCGACUCUCGAAAACAAGCUCCAAACCUUGGAGACGGCGAAUUACCAACGGGUUUCAUCUUCAAUCCCCAAUACCUUUUCAAUGAUGAUACCAAGACCAAUCCUUCUCCACCGUCUUAAUCCAACUUUGAAGAGAAGGGAGCUAAAGUGAAGUUGACAGAAUUGGGAAGAUAUACUCAAGCUUCCUCUGCUUCAGAACUUGACUAAGGUGAAACCAAGUGACCCUGAUGUUUUCCAUUUGCUUGGAGAAGUCAAAUACGAAUUCAAAGGGAGAAAAAUGAUGGAGAAAGAGAUAAAGAGGGCUGUCCUGCUUCAUUCUUGUUAGAUAGCUGUGGAAGCAUAUUCAAUGAGAAGAGCUAGUAAAGGAAUUCUACCUAUGGCUAGAAGUGUUAGAAACAAUGGAGCUAUUGCAAGAGAACAGUCGGCUAGUAGUGCUAGAAAGAAUGGAGCAAUUGCAAGAGAAGAGUCUACUGGAAGUUCUAGAAAGAAUGGAGCAAUUACAAGAGAAGAGUCAGAUGGAAGUGCUAAAAACAAUGGAGCUAUUGCAAGGGAAGAGUUAGCUAGAAGUGCUAAAAUUUAUAGAGCUAUUCCAAGAGAAGAGUCAGUUGGAACUGCUAGAAAUUAUGGAGCAAUUACAAGAGAAGAGUCUGGAACAAGUGAAAGUGGUGGCUCAUGAGUUGGAAAUAAGAAAGGGCGAUGGGCUACACGGAAUCUAAAUCUAGCAAAACUUUUUAUAAAGGAAAGGUUCCCAAUCCUAUGGAAAAAGGGAAGACUAGUAGGGAAAUACUCUACAGAUUCAAAUGGAGUGUACUGCCUUUGUUGGCGGAUUAGUAUGGUACCUUUACAAGUCAAAGAUUGGAGAGAGGUGCCUCAUCAAAACAAAAGAAUGCUAUUUGAUUAUAUAUUGGUAUCAAGGAAAAAAAAUGAAAGUAAAGAAUCUGAUUUUAGCAGUUCAAACAAGUUUCUUAGCUGAUUUAUACCUGGAUGGUGGUGUGGAUCUUUCAAUUUCAUCCAAUUCUAAGUUCUAACACAAAAACCCAUUUCAGAUUUCUUGACUUGGAGAGGCUAAAUGGGAUUGAGCAGUACUGCCCUUUCUCCACAUAGCUUAGCAGCACCUUGUGGCAGAGGGUGGAAAAAUUGAAAUGGCAGCUACUUGUGGGAUGGUGGCUGGGUAUGAUGGUUUUAGCCUAGGGGUAGAGAUGCUGAUUGAUGUAGGCAUAAAAGCAUGGGUAUGAUGUAGAGUCUUAAAUUUUUAUUCAUGAUUUUUAACAUCCCUUAAUGCUUGUGGAAUGGGUAUCAGUUACUGGAAGAGAAGAAGUUUGAUUUUGAAUACUGUUAUGAGCAGAUUAGCUUGUGCAGGUCAUAGCAGAUUAGUAAUACUGUUAUGUUGUAGUGCUUGCCACCUUCUAUUUAGUCAUGUUUCAUAUGGUCUUUUUAAAUAAUCUUUCAUAAAUUGGAAGGUCUUCUUUUUUCUGUUUUUUUUUUUUUCAAAAGGGCCUCAGAUAAAGUUGCAGUUAGUACUGUUAAACAACUUUGUAAACAAUGAGAUGCAUCUAUGUCUUGGAGUGGUUUUCACUUGUGACUGUAUAAUCACUGUAUACCUAUGACAUUUCAACAUUGGUUUUUUUUUUUUUUUUAAAAGAUUUAAUCACUCCAUCAAGAAUAUGAUUACUGCUAAUGUUCUUUAAAACAAUGAUGGUUUUUAAGUAAAAUUGAAUUUUGUAGUUUCUGGGUAGCAGUUUCUGUAUCUGUUUUAAAUAAUCGUUGUAGUUUAAGAACUUUUUAUUUAUUUUGGUGGGAUACUCUCUUGAUAUCAUCCCUCUUAUCCAAAUUACAUCAUCCACAAUAGCCAGCCUUUUGGAACCAAAAGUUUCUCUUCUUAAUUGCACCAAAAAGGAAUAAAUUUCAUUACAUUACUAGAUUUUGUACAUCAUUUUAUUCAUAAUUCCAAAGAUAAGUUAAUUUGGAGAUCUGAUGAGGAAUGAGUGCACUAUAAAAUCCAGUUGUCACUUAUUCUUUUGAAAGCUCUCUCUUCCUCAUGAAUUGAAGCUCAUCUCCCUCAUCAAUAGCGUUGCUUCUUGGCACUACUAAUAAAAAAAAUCCUAAUUUUCCGUGUAUUCUGUUCAAAGCCUUGGUAAUCAGUCUUCUUCGUGGAGAAAGCGAAUUUUCUUUGAUUCACAAUCCUUUCUUUGAAAGUUGCAAUGGAACACUAGCUAUCUCCUCUUUGAUUGUGCAAUCACUUCUAGUUUUGGGGCCACCUCAAGAAUUGAUCUUCAUCUUCAACAUUAUUUUUUAUUAUUUAUUGAUUCCAUCAAAACUAGAAGUUUUAAAUUCACAUCCAAUAAAUUAUCCAUUUAUAGUUUUUGGUAAAUGUUGUUCUAACUAAAAAGUUUUUGACUUUGAAGAUAUUUAAGGCCCCUCAACUAUAUUUAUGACGAGCAUUAGUAUACUAGGAACACUGUGGCCUAUUCACUUGACUACCCACUCCCAAGUCUCAGUCUUGAGUCCUACUAAUGUGAGUAUAGUAAGGACUCCAAAUAAUAAUAUAUACCAUGCACAGAGCAUCUAUAGUUUCUGUGUUAAGGCAUGGAAAACCACAUCAAAGUGAAAAGAGAAAACCGGUAAAGGAUUCUAAUAUGCCCAAACAAGCUCUAUAGCAACUGAAGAAGACACCACGACAUUGGGAGACAAUUAUACUAUAGGAAGCAACAUUUUAAUAGCAAAGAAAAUGUCCAAAGAGUUGAAUAAUUAAAAGGAAGCCAAUAGGGUAUUAGUUUAGUUAUGGGAAUAAUUUCCUCAAUGUUACAAAGCAGAGUCCAAUGAGCUAUAGUGUGGGUUCAGGAAUUACACUUUCUAACUACAUGUAAAGCUUGCCAACAAUAGCAUGAAGUUGAUGCCAACCUAGUAUCCACUAUUAGUGGUUCUAUGGACUAGUGAGAUCUGCAUAGAGAACUUUGGGUUCAUUGAAUUUCAUUUAGUUCAUUUCCCUCCAUCAAAACCUUUCUAAAACAAAGCUUUGAGUGCUGUUCUUGCUUCUACUAUAAGAGGACCAUCCAUCCAUCCUUAUUAGCUUGAUACAAAACAAAUAAUGUCAUUCUUAUGAUCAUGGCCAUCUGUCGCAACACAUGUUUGGUUGUUUGUUAAAGUUGCAUCAAAAUUAACUUUGACAAAAGGGGGAGGAAGAGGUGUUCAUGUUCUGGUACCUUUGUACCUCGGUAGUGGAUUCCCAGGCUUGCAAAUGAGUUUUUGUAGUUUGAGAUGUGCUCCCUGCAUUGGAUCAGUUGUAGUCCUACGUACCAUCUGUCUAUUCCUUUGCAUCCAGAUUACAUCACAACAUAUGGUAGCACACAUUGAUAAAUUUCUUACCUCUUCUAGUGGGACCUUCAUGGAGCUUUUUGAAUUGAACACUAUUUGGAUCCAUUCCUCCAUAGAUGACAGGUUGAGCUCUUAAAUUCUAAAAGGUCGUUGGGGAUGACCACAAAUUCCGAGUCACUAGGCACUUUAAGAAUAGGUGCUCUAUGGACUCUUGGGCUGCAUUACACAUUUGCAGUUUAGGUCUUCUAUUGAAAAUAUCAGGCUUAGCAUCACUUUUGUUAUGGGAACCAACAUUAAGGUUAUAGUUCUUACCCCAUUUCUAUCUUUGUCUGUCAGUGUGCUCCAUUCCAUUUUUCCAUCAUUGUUCUAUUGAUGCACUCCAUACGUCAUGACAAAA